This 1134-nucleotide unclassified non-coding RNA is filed under the name Acromyrmex echinatior (Panamanian leafcutter ant). RNAcentral's name for it is "protein dpy-30 homolog, transcript variant X1". Lineage: Eukaryota; Metazoa; Arthropoda; Insecta; Hymenoptera; Formicidae. The record is from RNAcentral.
UUACCGGCCUGACGUUGGCGACAUUAUCCCGACGUUCGACAUCGGUCCGGUCGGUCGGUCGGCAGUGACGAUUGUUUACACGAUGGCGUCCGGCGGUGAAAACGCGACCGAGGAACGGACGGAGACGUCAACGCCGGUUCAACCCGUUGCCAAUGCCGUAUCCGAGACAACCCACAAAGUGAUAGGGAUGGAUAAGGAUGGCGAAUUGUCUGGUGUACCAGCAAAGAAACCUCGUGUCGAAGUGCAAUCUCUUCCAACCAGACAGUAUUUAGAUCAGACCGUAGUACCGAUAUUGCUGCAAGCAUUGUCAUGUCUGGCCAAAGAGAGACCUGCCGAUCCUAUAAGUUUUCUCGCCGGUUAUUUAUUGAGAAACAAGAGUCAAUACGACAGCGGCGGUUCGCCGCCGACUAGUCAAUGAAUGCUUCCUCAUCUGUGCGUGCCCGUUUUAUGGAAAUUUGAUGAACAUUUCUUCGGAUGACAAUGAUGCAUAGAUGUACGAAAUAUCUGGAUGGAGCAUAGUGCUGUGGGGUUGAAGUUCAAGGGGAAAGAAUAGUAAUGUAAAAUCAUCAAGAUGACAACGACUGAGAGUGGAAAGAGCGGGGCGCACUAUAUUACACUACUUGACUUAUCUACAAUGCCGUUGUGUUUAAUGUUGUUCAGUUAAGCGUGUCUUGUUUAAUCACAUUGCGAUUGAUCACAGCCACUUAUAGCGAUCAAUACUUGAAGUAUUUCCACUGUGUUAUAUUGAACUCUAACCAGAAAGUUUUAUGUUAAAUUAUUUAAUUAGCGAUGGACACUCUGUGUCUCAGUUAGGCUGUAGAUCAAUCAGUUAUGAACAAUGUAUUAUGCUUCCUAUGAAUGCUUCGCCAAAACUGAAUCACUACGAUUUUAGAUGAAUUUGCGACUGCAUUGUAGACUACGUUUUACACAAACACGGCGCUACGUGUCUCUGACAGAACAAUCAAGAUCGAUUUUUUCCACAAUCUCUCAAACUUCAUUCUCCUGGCCUAAAAGGGUAUUUUACGCUCCGUCUAGGUAUUUCGUACGUCCAUGUUUUAGCGAGAUAAAAUGGUGUUGUUCUGAGAAAUGUAAUGUUAAUUAGUCUUGAAUUAAAAACAAUUUUUAACAUUGAAA